Molecule: ribosomal RNA, 505 nt
Filed under: uncultured bacterium
Lineage: Bacteria
Description: partial 16S ribosomal RNA
Rfam family: Bacterial small subunit ribosomal RNA
Source: RNAcentral
GACGAACGCUGGCGGCGUGCCUAAUACAUGCAAGUAGAACGCACAGUUUAUACCGUAGCUUGCUACACCAUAGACUGUGAGUUGCGAACGGGUGAGUAACGCGUAGGUAACCUGCCUGGUAGCGGGGGAUAACUAUUGGAAACGAUAGCUAAUACCGCAUAAUAUUAAUUAUUCCAUGAUAAUUGAUUGAAAGAUGCAACUGCAUAACUACCAGAUGGACCUGCGUUGUAUUAGCUAGUAGGUGAGGUAACGGCUCACCUAGGCGACGAUACAUAGCCGACCUGAGAGGGUGAUCGGCCACACUGGGACUGAGACACGGCCCAGACUCCUACGGGAGGCAGCAGUAGGGAAUCUUCGGCAAUGGACGAAAGUCUGACCGAGCAACGCCGCGUGAGUGAAGAAGGUUUUCGGAUCGUAAAGCUCUGUUGUAAGAGAAGAACGGGUGUGAGAGUGGAAAGUUCACACUGUGACGGUAUCUUACCAGAAAGGGACGGCUAACUACGUG